RNAcentral lists this ribosomal RNA (422 nucleotides) under uncultured bacterium. Its description in RNAcentral is "partial 16S ribosomal RNA". It matches the Rfam family "Bacterial small subunit ribosomal RNA", at positions 359 to 773 of the family's 1533-position model. The record is from RNAcentral.
GAAUUUUGGACAAUGGGGGCAACCCUGAUCCAGCCAUCCCGCGUGUGCGAUGAAGGUCUCCGGGUUGUAAAGCACUUUUGGCAGGGAAGAAAAGGCUCUGGCUAAUCCCUGGUGCUGCUGACGGUCCCUGCUGAUUAAGCACCGGCUAACUACGUUCAAUCAGCCGCGGUAAUACGUAGGGUGCAAGCGUUAAUCGGAAUUACUGGGCGUAAAGCGUGCGCAGGCGGUUCGGCAAGAAGGAUGUGAAAUCCCAGGGCUUAACCUUGGAACUGCAUUCUUAACUGCCGGGCUAGAGUAUGUCAGAGGGGGGUAGAAUUCCGCGUGUAGCAGUGAAAUGCGUAGAGAUGCGGAGGAAUACCGAUGGCGAAGGCAGCCCCCUGGGAUAAUACUGACGCUCAUGCACGAAAGCGUGGGGAGCAAAC